AGCGGCGGAUGGGUGAGUAACACGUGGGGAACCUGCCCCUAAGUCUGGGAUACCAUUUGGAAACAGGUGCUAAUACCGGAUAAUAAAGCAGAUCGCAUGAUCAGCUUUUGAAAGGCGGCGUAAGCUGUCGCUAAGGGAUGGCCCCGCGGUGCAUUAGCUAGUUGGUAAGGUAACGGCUUACCAAGGCGACGAUGCAUAGCCGAGUUGAGAGACUGAUCGGCCACAUUGGGACUGAGACACGGCCCAAACUCCUACGGGAGGCAGCAGUAGGGAAUCUUCCACAAUGGACGCAAGUCUGAUGGAGCAACGCCGCGUGAGUGAAGAAGGUUUUCGGAUCGUAAAGCUCUGUUGUUGGUGAAGAAGGAUAGAGGUAGUAACUGGCCUUUAUUUGACGGUAAUCAACCAGAAAGUCACGGCUAACUACGUGCCAGCAGCCGCGGUAAUACGUAGGAGGCAAGCGUUGUCCGGAUUUAUUGGGCGUAAAGCGAGCGCAGGCGGAAAAAUAAGUCUAAUGUGAAAGCCCUCGGCUUAACCGAGGAACAGCAUCGGAAACUGUUUUUCUUGAGUGCAGAAGAGGAGAGUGGAACUCCAUGUGUAGCGGUGGAAUGCGUAGAUAUAUGGAAGAACACCAGUGGCGAAAGGCGGCUCUCUGGUCUGCAACUGACGCUGAGGCUCGAAAGCAUGGGUAGCGAACAGGAUUAGAUACCCUGGUAGUCCAUGCCGUAACGAUGAGUGCUAAGUGU
Molecule: ribosomal RNA, 743 nt
Filed under: uncultured bacterium
Lineage: Bacteria
Description: bacterial SSU rRNA
Rfam family: Bacterial small subunit ribosomal RNA
Source: RNAcentral